UACGUAGGGACCGAGCGUUGUCCGGAUUCAUUGGGCGUAAAGGGCGCGUAGGCGGCCAGUGCAAGUCAGUUGUGAAAUCUCCGAGCUUAACUCGGAAAGGUCAACUGAUACUGCUCGGCUAGAGUGCGGAAGGGGCAACUGGAAUUCUUGGUGUAGCGGUGAAAUGCGUAGAUAUCAAGAGGAACACCUGCGGCGAAGGCGGGUUGCUGGGCCGACACUGACGCUGAGGCGCGAAAGCGUGGGGAGCAAACAGG
RNAcentral lists this ribosomal RNA (254 nucleotides) under uncultured bacterium. RNAcentral's name for it is "partial 16S ribosomal RNA". It matches the Rfam family "Bacterial small subunit ribosomal RNA", at positions 524 to 776 of the family's 1533-position model. The record is from RNAcentral.